AAUCAGGACUGUAUUUGAAGAGCUCAAGAAAUGGAGAGUAUUUCUUUUUUCCAUUCAGGUGUUUAGGGAUAUGUUUGUUGAAGAGUUGGGUGGGCCUAGCAAGAUGGCAGCGCAUGUGCAAUAAGUAUUCCCGUGAAGUACCACUGCUAAGGUAAUGUCGUUUCUAUCAGAUUUGUAAGUUACUCUGUUUUCCAUAUAACUAUAUUUUUUUCAUUUGAA
This 219-nucleotide long non-coding RNA is filed under the name Chrysemys picta bellii (western painted turtle). RNAcentral's name for it is "lncRNA (ENSCPBG00000014954.1)". The record is from RNAcentral. Lineage: Eukaryota; Metazoa; Chordata; Testudines; Emydidae.